This 3932-nucleotide unclassified non-coding RNA is filed under the name Yarrowia lipolytica. The record is from RNAcentral. Lineage: Eukaryota; Fungi; Ascomycota; Dipodascomycetes; Dipodascales.
AGGCUGGAGCGGUCGCAAAUAGCUCAGAUGGGGACAGGCGGUGAGUUUGAGGUUGGUGCCGUGCUUGUUUUUGCUGCUGCUUCAACCCAUUGUUGUCCAUUGUACGGACCCAACGUACAGCACGUACCUUUCGUAUGUCUGCUGUUGAACAGGCUUUACUGGCUGGUUAAAUUUCCACAAUGGAACCAAAACCGCAAAGCGCAAAGUGGACGGUCGGCUACAGGAAGGGAAAGAAAGGAAAAAAACAAACAGCCAAAUGGACGGAAAUGGCCCUUGUUCAACUCUGUCUGGUCAGGGACUUCGGAGACCGGCCAUCCACAUGAACAUGAUCCUUGGUGCAGAUGGCCUAUUCUUGGACAUGUUAGACAUGGUUUGAGAGGAAAUGUGGGCAUAAGCGAGAGAUUUGAGAGGUUAAAGCGGCGGUCGUAAUUGGUCCCUGCUACAUUGUUGGGCAGCGCUCGCAUUUGGCCGCUCAAUGACCGUCGUAUCUCGCAGCCAUAAUCACCCCAUUUUUUUUCCAUCUCCCUAUCAACAGCUUGUUCCUAUGAUAACUGGUUUCAUACUUAUGAUACAAUAUGGGCGAUAGCAAACCAACCAGCUGGAGAUGUUACAAUUCGAAACAAACAACCAACCACCUCCCGUCUUGCUGCCUAAUCUCAUCAUCUCACCACAAACAGCCGCCUCCUUCAUCAUAUGAAAGAAAGACAGCCGAGCGAUAAUAAGCAGGGCAUGCACAAACUCUGGGUGUGAGAGAGAUGAAAGUCUUGCUCGAGAGGAGAGGUGGAUGAAGAGACGUGGGGGGCUGCUUACCAGUACAAGUACCCAUACUUAUCAUAGCACUGAUGCGUGGGGGGAUACGCCCUCGAUCCGUUACGUGCACGGUGCUCGCAAUGGUGCUGUUGUAACCACGCGUAUAGCCGUCCACGAAAGCGUUUUUAUUGCUCGUCGUACCACCAAGUCUAGUGGAAGGGGAUAAAAAAAGAAACGACUAUCAGUUUGAUGGUCUGGGUCGCCUGGAAAUAUAUGCGGAAUGCACACCCGGCAUGACAUGUUAAUCUCGUGUUCAAGCACCUUUCCAGCAUCGGAAGACCAAAUCUAACCAAACAGGGAGCCGUGAGGCUAUGCGUUUGCUCCAGCAACAGCAAUGGCUGCAAAUAGGGUCUCGACUCUCUGAAACACCACCUGGAGCAGCCGGUGGUCAACUCGAAGCAAACUCUCUCGGUUGGAGUAAACAACGUUCGGCUGCUCGAUACGCCAAAGAAGGUCUAACCCAAGCCUAGAGACGGGUGGGCUCUAUCUGGGGCCACUCCGGUCUGUUUAUGACUCAAUGUAGCAGUGGGCUCGGUGUGAUGCCGGUCUUUCUUUGUACUCGGGCUUGUACUGUAGCUCAGAGGUGUGUUUCCUUGACUCAUGACUCGCUCAAACGAUAACCCUGGCAGCUGAGAGAGUUGCGACACUUGAGCUCUACUGUCUGGUGAGCUCAGUCAGGUUCUUGGACCGGUUAAUUCCGUCGAAUACCAAUAGAUUAAUCAACAGUGUAGCUCACGUUGUAUGGACCUUGUCCUUCCAAAGUGGCCCGCAACAGUCGUGUUUCUCUCUGCUGAUGCUUUCAAAUUACCCAAUUGAACUCAUCCGUUGGACAACAAGAGAGUGGGGUUCUGGAGGAGUUAGGGACUUGAUUAAUCUGUUCAAAACGCGGUCCCUGGCGAAUUUCCACGUUUUUUGUCUGAAUAUUAACACAUCUUUCUGCUCUUGGCCACUCUCUCGGUUGGUAGUUGCCGUAAAUGAGCCUUUAUGGUGGCUGCUUCACUUUCGACUUUUCUAUCCAGCCCAGCCCAUCUCAUCAACAGGCAGCUCUUGCCGAAGUCAUGGAUUCAGCUCUUUUAGCCCAUCACUCCGCGACUUCAGACCACUUGGACCUUCAGACACUUGGACUUGGACCACCUUUUGGGGUGUCACUUGGUAUCCGUCUUCUUCUCUUGACAAUGGUAUCGAGUCUGUCCUUCUAAAUGGGCAGCCAUAGUGGAUAUCUUCUUAGUUGCCUGUCUGCUCAUCAACUCAUCCGCUCGUCAACUCAUCCGCUCAUCCGCUCAUCAACUCAUCCGCUCAUCAACUCAUCCGCUCAUCUGCUCAUCUGCUCAUCUGCUCUUCAGCCCAUCAACGGUCUCACAGCUCCAGUAACAAAGCUGAGUCGGUAUUUGAAUGAACAGAGCGAGCAGUAUCAACACUUUCGACAGCUGCCAUUCGCUCGGUAUUCACCUCGUCACUCAGGCUCACUUGGCCACAGCUUCGAAAACAUGAUGAUCAUAACCGCUGGAGACUCUCCUGUCUUCUUCCGUGCGCUUGCCGAUUUAUGGGCGGUUGCAAACGACCUCCAUUGAAGAUCAGUGUUGGUGGGAAGUUUUUAAGGGUCUUCCUGGGUGUGUUCUGACCCACCUGGUUCAAUUUCUUGGUCCCUGGCUGGAGUUCUGUGAGUAUUUCUGAUUUUUCUGAUUUUCGUGAUUUUCCUUUGAAUUAUCAGAAAGCAGAAAGCAGAAAUCAAAAAUUUAUAAUGGCGGUGUUCAUUGCCAGGAUGCUCUUCAAGACUUUCUCUGGGUACGCUCGGGAUACUGCUCUGUUACAGUAUGGCAGAGUGAUGGACCUGUUGAUCUCCUUGCCAAUGGUUCCGUCAUUGUCCUCAAUCGACGUGAGUAAACGACAACAGAAUUUGACAGACUCCAACACUCCGACCGACUCCAUCACUCUGACCGACUCCAACACUCCAACAGACUCCAUCUCUCAAACCGACCCUGACACUCCGACUAUUCUCCUGUCUUCUUAGUAGCACCGCCCGUAUCCUGCCCUGGUGAAAUGACGCUGAAGGUAAGUGGCUACUACCAGUACCAACACUCUCUGAUACAGGUAUCGUACUGUACGACAGGAAUGCCGCUUCUGACAGCGCGCUUUCGUUGAGUUAGUCUGAAAGCAGCUCCGAGUAAUGUCUACCACACUGGUUCUUCCUGAGUGGUAUCAUCUUCCUGAACAGUCGUCAAGUUCACAGCCAGAAAACGGUUGAUUCAAGAGAUUCGUGAACUCGUUACUGUCAAAUAUCGGUCUGUUGGUCUCGGACUCUCUUCCCAUUUCGUCGCCCAUUCAGAACUGAGACAUGCACCCUGCUGAAGCACUAUGCACAAUGGACCUGAUGCAUGAUGGUGCUUAAGAGGGACCAUCAGAGGAGCCCAGUGGACAGUUGAGGCCGGCGGAGAUCGGUAUUGUGCUCCUUACUUCGUACUCCUACUCGAAGAAUUGAUCGUUGGGAGGAGUGGUUCUGGCCAACCAGUCAACUUGCUUCUUCCUGCUACAAUACAAUUAGUGAGUAGAUCUUCUCUCCCGAGAUCAGACCUGGUUCAACGAAAAUCUUUGUCCAAAACCAAGCUUUCUUUGUCACGAUUAGAUCCAAUAUUGUGGGUCCAAGGAAUGACACAAUUGUGCAUAGAAAGCUAUCUAAUUUAGAGCGAAACUAAGCACAUGGACCGUCCAUUAGUUGCAUACAAGCAGGUACCGUUUCAUUUCUUUUAGAUGCUCUAUUUUGUGAUUUUUCGAAAUGGUUCGUUGACGUUUGUCGACAAGUCUUUAUAUUGUUUACCGCGCAGCAAGAGAGGUCGAUAUCCACACCUUCCCAGCGAUAAAUGAGGUUGAUACUGGUAUCAAAAUACUCGCAGCGUUUCGGUGAAUGCAUUGAGCACUUCAUUUCGUCUUUUGAGUGGACCCUCUGGGUAAAAGAGGGCCUAUAUGGACGGAGUGACUGGUGGUGCUAAUCUGAGAGUAUCAUGAGAAAUGCAGAUGAGUUGGGAACUUGAAGACUGAAGGACUGAAGCCCUGCUAUGUUGUAGUCCGUUUACAUGGUACCCCCUGUAUACGAUUGAGAGUGCUGCUCGUUCUCCGACCACUCC